Molecule: ribosomal RNA, 439 nt
Filed under: uncultured bacterium
Lineage: Bacteria
Description: partial 16S ribosomal RNA
Rfam family: Bacterial small subunit ribosomal RNA
Source: RNAcentral
CUACGGGGCGCAGCAGUGGGGAAUAUUGCACAAUGGGCGAAAGCCUGAUGCAGCAACGCCGCGUGAGUGAAGAAGGCCUUCGGGUCGUAAAACUCUUUUCUUGAGGAAGAAUAUUGACGGUACUCAAGGAAUAAGCCCCGGCUAAUUACGUGCCAGCAGCCGCGGUAAUACGUAAGGGGCAAGCGUUAUCCGGAAUCACUGGGCGUAAAGGGUGCGUAGGUGGUCAAAUAAGUCAGAAGUGAAAGGCUAUGGCUCAACCAUAGUAAGCUUUUGAAACUGUUUGACUUGAGUGCAGGAGAGGAAAGUGGAAUUCCUAGUGUAGCGGUGAAAUGCGUAGAUAUUAGGAGGAACACCAGUGGCGAAGGCGACUUUCUGGACUGUAACUGACACUGAGGCACGAAAGCGUGGGGAGCGAACAGGAUUAGAUACCCGUGUAGUC